RNAcentral lists this ribosomal RNA (169 nucleotides) under uncultured bacterium. RNAcentral's name for it is "partial 16S ribosomal RNA". It matches the Rfam family "Bacterial small subunit ribosomal RNA", at positions 338 to 524 of the family's 1533-position model. The record is from RNAcentral.
CCUACGGGAGGCAGCAGUGGGGAAUAUUGGACAAUGGGCGCAAGCCUGAUCCAGCCAUGCCGCGUGAGUGACGAAGGCCUUAGGGUUGUAAAGCUCUUUCGCCCGCGACGAUGAUGACGGUAGCGGGAGAAGAAGCCCCGGCUAACUCCGUGCCAGCAGCCGCGGUAAU